Long non-coding RNA from Lagenorhynchus albirostris (white-beaked dolphin), 3794 nucleotides. RefSeq lists it as uncharacterized. Lineage: Eukaryota; Metazoa; Chordata; Mammalia; Artiodactyla; Delphinidae. The transcript is spliced from 3 exons. The record is from RefSeq and is a predicted model, not a curated record.
UUGCUUAUUGAAUUGGUUUGAGUUGGGUUUCUGUCACUGUGAAUGAGAGUCCUGACCAAUUUAAUGUGACUUUGGGCGAGCUGUUUCAUGUUUCUGAGUCUCAGCUUCCUCACUUAUAAAAAGGUUGGGGUCAGAUUAGAUAAGCAGUAGAUCCCUUUCCAGGAUUUUAACAUUUCAGAAUUCUAACACAUUUAAGGUCACUGAUCUGUGGAGCCCAAACAUUUAUGACUGUGGGCAAACUUGGUUCCCUGGAGCCACAUGCCACUCUUGGCCCCCAUUACCAGCAGCCCCUCUGACUGUCUAUUGCUCCCACCUCCUUUGGGGGGUUGGUUUUUCUGGUCGCAUGUUCAGAACUUGCUCCUGUUGGUAGAGUCACAUGCAUUGUCCUUCUAGUAUCUCCAGAUAUGUCCUCCAACAUGAUCCUUGUGGACACAUUUUUCUUCUUCCUGACCCCAGCUCUUAUUUGUCUUUUCCCCUUUCUUGUCCCAUGCCUCACUAAAGUCAUAUUUACUUAAUCUGCAGCAGACAUUUUUAGAUCUUUCAUGCCCUAUUGUGUGUCUAGACUGUUCUCCCUUUUACUGCCUCCUUCCAUGAUCCUCUGGGAUGGGUAGGAAUCUUACUUUAUCAACUCAGGUUAGAAAGCUACAUUAUUUUCUUUAAAUCAUCAUAGAGUCUGCCUCUGAGUCCCCAUUUGGCAGGGCUGGAGACAAAUUCAGUCUUCGUCAUUAUUAGGGAUACCUCCCUUCAUUCUAGAGUCAGGCAAAAGUCUUGGGGCUCUUAUACAGAGCAAAACAUUUGGAGGGGUCCCCCCAGUUCAGGGCAAGUUGGCUACUGUGGAUAUGCUCUUUUCCUAGCCCACAUGGCAACCCAGUAUCUGGUAGCUGCUGGACCACACUUGGGCAUGAAAAUGAUAAUAACAAUAACAGCAACAACAAUGUUUAUGGAAUGUUACUAAAGUGCCAGGGACUCCGUAGUGCUUUACAAAAAUAAUUUCAUAUGAGCCAACUGCUCUUUGGCCCAGAACAUACUUUUCCCAGAUAACUCACAGUUCUCCCUCAUCUCCUGUAAGUCUUUGCCAAAUAUUAUGUUCUCAGUGAGGCCUAUCCUGACCACCUGCCUCUGUGCCUCAUCCCCUACACUCGCCAUCCCUUUUCCCUGCUCUACUUUUGUUCCCAUAGCACAUUCUAGGCUAUAUGAUUUACAUACUAAUAGUGUUUUCUGUCUGCCUCCCCCCAGUAGAAUGUAAGCUCUAAAAGGGUAGGAUCUUUAUUUGUUUACUUCUAACUCUCAAGCCCCUAGAACAGUACCUAGCAUAUAGUUCAAUAAAUGCUUUGGGGCUUCCCUGGUGGCGCAGUGGUUGAGAGUCCGCCUGCCUAUGCAGGGGACACGGGUUCGUGCCCCGGUCCGGGAGGAUCCCACAUUCCGCGGAGCUGCUGGGCCCGUGAGCCAUGGCCGCUGAGCCUGCGCGUCCGGAGCCUGUGCGCCGCAACGGGAGAGGCCACAGCAGUGAGAGGCCCGCGUACCGCCAAAUAAAUAAAUAAAUAAAUAAAUGCUUUGGAAUAUGUGAUUUUAAUUUUCAUGGAUGAGGAAACUGAGGCACAUAAAGGGAAGCAGCUAUCCCAUGGCACAUAGCCAGCCAGUGGUAGAGCUUGAGUUUAAGCCCAGGCCACCUGAUUUCUUUUAACCACUUUGUGUGAAAUGGGUACCCCCAGACCCCCAUCUAGCCUCCUGAGGUGCAUCACUCCUCCCAGAGGCCCUGCUGUAUCCCUGGGGCAUUAAGAGAGUACAGUGUGGGUCCCAAUCCUCAAUGAACCCAUGAAUCUCCCUCCUCCUUCUGCUCACCCCCCAUUCCCUUCCCUAAACACUGCCCACUUCCAGAGUAAUAGAAUAUCCUCAAGGAGAUUAAAACUUUCAUUUAGGCCAGGAAAAGAGUUUAUCUUCUGGGAACACCACCUUUCCACUUAGCAAGUGCUCUUGAGGCUAAGAAAUAUAUGGAUUGGCCACUUUCUUGGAAUGAGGAGGUGGGGUAUCCAGAAGACAAAACAGAAUUAGCUUUGAGUGUGAGUGAGUGUGUUUGUAAUGAACAUGCCUUCUAUACCCUGAGCUCCCUUUCCUACACCACUGCAAGAUCGUCUCUUUUCUUCCUUUAAUUCCAGUUCCCAAGUCCAGCCAUGCUACAAAUACCUGCUGAAGCCCCUCUGAAUGGAACAGGCUUGCGCAAAGCCCACCUCCCAAGAGGACUGGAGGGAGUGGAGCUCUCAUGGCAAAUGUGAAAAAGGAUUGUCUUCCUAUUACUGGAGGAUUUCCCCCAGUGUUUCCUCAAUAAUUUCAGCUGCAGCAUUCAUUUAAAGCCUCCUGCAAAAAUGACUCCUCCACAUUUGAAAACCAAGGCUUGUGAACAUUCUGAGGAGAGAGAGGCAGAGCACCCCCUUCAUUCCAGCCCCCCAAAAAGACCCAGGCGCUCGUCUGCAGAGACAUCUGUGCCCGAGGACCAGGCUGAGGGGGACGCGUUUUCAUCCUUGAAUGUUUCCUGUCUUUCUAGUGACUUCCUAUCUCUCUGUGAUUGACAAGUAGCUUUAGAUGCUGGAGACUGACCAAAACCAAAUCCUGUGGUGAUCCUUUCACAGCUGGGCCCUUCCUGUUCCAUCUCGGAGUGGCAAGCAGGACCAGUGUGAUCAAAAAGGAGAAGGCUGGGCUUCCCUGGUGGUGCAGUGGUUGAGAGUCCGCCUGCCAAUGCAGGGGACGCGGGUUCGUGCCCUGGUCCGGGAAGAUCCCACAUGCCGCGGAGCGGCUGGGCACGUGAGCCAUGGCUGCUGGGCCUGCGCGUCUGGAGCCUGUGCUCCGCAACGGGAGAGGCCACAACAGUGAGAGGCCUGCGUACCGCAAAAAAAAAAAAAAAAAAAGAGAAGGCUGAAUGGAACAUGGCUCAAAGGAAGAAAAGGGAAGGGGAAGCAGCUCUGUUCCGAGGGCCCAGAGCUCCGAGUCCUCCAGGUACAGGCAUGGGAGAGCCAGACGCGCAGGAGAGGCUGGACAGAGCCCCCAAACACGGAGCAGAAAUGAAAAAAGAAUCAUCAGUAAGCAGACACAGAGUCAUUCCCAAGUGCCAUUUGGUCAGUCAUCUAAGAGCCAUUCAUUCAGCAAAUAGUUAUUGAGCACCUAAUAUGUACUAGGACUGUCCUAGAAUCCAUCAGUGAGGAGACAAACGUCCCUGUCUUCAUGAAGCUUACAUUUUACCAGGACCCUUUGGGGGCAGGGGAGAGAGAGAUUUCCCCUGGUCUCAGCUGGAGUGCCGGGAUGCUCUGAUUUCAGAUGGCCCUGUGAUCUAUGAAAAAGGGGGAUUAGUGAAAAAGACUCACAAAGCAGGAAACAGGAAGUCGUCACAAGCUUCAUAGCCUAGAACUUCUCUUUCAGGUGGAGCCCAGAGAAGAGUCUGCAAAUCUUCCAGCCCCAACUCCAGAGUCUCCUGGUGACUUUCGGGGGGCAGCAUCCACAUCACGUCCCACCAGCCACACCAUGGGCUGAGAAGACAGCGCCUCCACCAGAGGGCCUGGGCUCCCUUCCUGCGCAUCUGCAAACAGGGCGUGGGCUCUGGCCAAAGCCCCAAACCAGAAGGUGGAAACUUUUGCUGAGCACUGGGAGAGGCGGGGAGGUGUUGGUGUUUUAGAAACCAAACCUAUGUCCUUAGAAACACCGCAGAAGGGCUCGGCAGAGCAGCCGGGAGUUGGAUGGUGCUGCAGUGAAUCACAGAAACUCCAGGGAAGAAGAGGCCAUCAGAGAGGGGGGGCAGGCUCUUU